RNAcentral lists this ribosomal RNA (479 nucleotides) under uncultured bacterium. Its description in RNAcentral is "partial 16S ribosomal RNA". It matches the Rfam family "Bacterial small subunit ribosomal RNA", at positions 28 to 507 of the family's 1533-position model. The record is from RNAcentral.
GAUGAACGCUAGCGGGAGGCCUAACACAUGCAAGCCGAGCGGUAUUGUUUCUUCGGCAAUGAGAGAGCGGCGUACGGGUGCGUAACACGUGUGCAACCUGCCUUUAUCUGGGGGAUAGCCUUUCGAAAGGAGGAUUAAUACUCCAUAAUAUAUUGAACGGCAUCGUUUAAUAUUGAAAGCUCCGGCGGCUAGAGAUGGGCACGCGCAAGAUUAGCUAGUUGGUGAGGUAACGGCUCACCAAGGCGAUGAUCUUUAGGGGGCCUGAGAGGGUGAUCCCCCACACUGGUACUGAGACACGGACCAGACUCCUACGGGAGGCAGCAGUGAGGAAUAUUGGUCAAUGGGUGCAAGCCUGAACCAGCCAUCCCGCGUGAAGGACGACUGCGCUAGGGGUUGUAAACUUCUUUGGUAUAGGGAUAAACCGAUCCUCGUGAGGGUAGCUGAAGGUACUAUACGAAUAAGCACCGGCUAACUCCGUG